RNAcentral lists this small nuclear RNA (20 nucleotides) under Arabidopsis thaliana (thale cress). RNAcentral describes it as "snRNA_16404". The record is from RNAcentral. Lineage: Eukaryota; Viridiplantae; Streptophyta; Magnoliopsida; Brassicales; Brassicaceae.
GCGGCGAGAGCGGGUCGCCG